RNAcentral lists this ribosomal RNA (406 nucleotides) under Streptococcus mutans. RNAcentral describes it as "bacterial SSU rRNA". It matches the Rfam family "Bacterial small subunit ribosomal RNA", at positions 28 to 416 of the family's 1533-position model. Lineage: Bacteria; Bacillati; Bacillota; Bacilli; Lactobacillales; Streptococcaceae. The record is from RNAcentral.
GACGAACGCUGGCGGCGUGCCUAAUACAUGCAAGUGGGACGCAAGGGAACACACUGUGCUUGCACACCGUGUUUUCUUGAGUCGCGAACGGGUGAGUAACGCGUAGGUAACCUGCCUAUUAGCGGGGGAUAACUAUUGGAAACGAUAGCUAAUACCGCAUAAUAUUAAUUAUUGCAUGAUAAUUGAUUGAAAGAUGCAAGCGCAUCACUAGUAGAUGGACCUGCGUUGUAUUAGCUAGUUGGUAAGGUAAGAGCUUACCAAGGCGACGAUACAUAGCCGACCUGAGAGGGUGAUCGGCCACACUGGGACUGAGACACGGCCCAGACUCCUACGGGAGGCAGCAGUAGGGAAUCUUCGGCAAUGGACGAAAGUCUGACCGAGCAACGCCGCGUGAGUGAAGAAGGUU